GGCGGCAUGCUUUACACAUGCAAGUCGAACGGUAACAGGGAGCUUGCUCCGCUGACGAGUGGCGAACGGGUGAGUAAUAUAUCGGAACGUACCCAAGAGUGGGGGAUAACGUAGCGAAAGUUACGCUAAUACCGCAUACGAUCCAAGGAUGAAAGCAGGGGACCGCAAGGCCUUGUGCUCCUGGAGCGGCCGAUAUCUGAUUAGCUAGUUGGUAGGGUAAAGGCCUACCAAGGCAUCGAUCAGUAGCUGGUCUGAGAGGACGACCAGCCACACUGGAACUGAGACACGGUCCAGACUCCUACGGGAGGCAGCAGUGGGGAAUUUUGGACAAUGGGCGCAAGCCUGAUCCAGCAAUGCCGCGUGAGUGAAGAAGGCCUUCGGGUUGUAAAGCUCUUUUGUCAGGGAAGAAACGGGUGUGGCUAAUAUCUGCAUCUAAUGACGGUACCUGAAGAAUAAGCACCGGCUAACUACGUGCCAGCAGCCGCGGUAAUACGUAGGGUGCAAGCGUUAAUCGGAAUUACUGGGCGUAAAGCGUGCGCAGGCGGUUUUGUAAGUCUGUUGUGAAAUCCCCGGGCUUAACCUGGGAAUGGCAAUGGAGACUGCAAGGCUAGAGUUUGGCAGAGGGGGGUAGAAUUCCACGUGUAGCAGUGAAAUGCGUAGAGAUGUGGAGGAACACCGAUGGCGAAGGCAGCCCCCUGGGUCAAGACUGACGCUCAUGCACGAAAGCGUGGGGAGCAAACAGGAUUAGAUACCCUGGUAGUCCACGCCCUAAACGAUGUCUACUAGUUGUCGGGUCUUAAUUGACUUGGUAACGCAGCUAACGCGUGAAGUAGACCGCCUGGGGAGUACGGUCGC
RNAcentral lists this ribosomal RNA (855 nucleotides) under Pseudoduganella buxea. Its description in RNAcentral is "bacterial SSU rRNA". It matches the Rfam family "Bacterial small subunit ribosomal RNA", at positions 38 to 889 of the family's 1533-position model. Lineage: Bacteria; Pseudomonadati; Pseudomonadota; Betaproteobacteria; Burkholderiales; Oxalobacteraceae. The record is from RNAcentral.